GGCCAGGUAGCUCAGUCGGGAGAGCGUCCGCCUGAAAAGCGGAAGGUCGCCGGUUCGAUCCCGGCCCUGGCCA
RNAcentral lists this transfer RNA (73 nucleotides) under Mycobacteriales bacterium. RNAcentral's name for it is "tRNA-Phe". It matches the Rfam family "tRNA". From Rfam's summary of the family: Transfer RNA (tRNA) molecules are approximately 80 nucleotides in length. Their secondary structure includes four short double-helical elements and three loops (D, anti-codon, and T loops). Further hydrogen bonds mediate the characteristic L-shaped molecular structure. tRNAs have two regions of fundamental functional importance: the anti-codon, which is responsible for specific mRNA codon recognition, and the 3' end, to which the tRNAs corresponding amino acid is attached (by aminoacyl-tRNA synthetases). tRNAs cope with the degeneracy of the genetic code in two manners: having more than one tRNA (with a specific anti-codon) for a particular amino acid; and 'wobble' base-pairing, i.e. permitting non-standard base-pairing at the 3rd anti-codon position. RNAcentral also lists the same sequence under 1 other name. Lineage: Bacteria; Bacillati; Actinomycetota; Actinomycetes; Mycobacteriales. The record is from RNAcentral.